GAACGGGUGAGUAAUGCAUCGGAACGUACCCAGUAGUGGGGGAUAACUUACCGAAAGGUAAGCUAAUACCGCAUACGCACUGAGGUGGAAAGCAGGGGACCGCAAGGCCUUGCGCUAUUGGAGCGGCCGAUGUCGGAUUAGCUAGUUGGUGGGGUAAAGGCCUACCAAGGCGACGAUCCGUAGCGGGUCUGAGAGGAUGAUCCGCCACACUGGAACUGAGACACGGUCCAGACUCCUACGGGAGGCAGCAGUGGGGAAUUUUGGACAAUGGGCGCAAGCCUGAUCCAGCCAUGCCGCGUGAGUGAAGAAGGCCUUCGGGUUGUAAAGCUCUUUCGGCCGGGAAGAAAUCGUGGUGGCGAAUACCUGCCAUGGAUGACGGUACCGGACUAAGAAGCACCGGCUAACUACGUGCCAGCAGCCGCGGUAAUACGUAGGGUGCGAGCGUUAAUCGGAAUUACUGGGCGUAAAGCGUGCGCAGGCGGUUUUGUAAGACAGCUGUGAAAUCCCCGGGCUUAACCUGGGAACUGCGGUUGUGACUGCAAGGCUAGAGUAUGGCAGAGGGGGGUGGAAUUCCACGUGUAGCAGUGAAAUGCGUAGAGAUGUGGAGGAACACCGAUGGCGAAGGCAGCCCCCUGGGUCGAUACUGACGCUCAUGCACGAAAGCGUGGGGAGCAAACAGGAUUAGAUACCCUGGUAGUCCACGCCCUAAACGAUGUCGACUAGUUGUUGGAGGGGUAAAACCCUUUAGUAACGUAGCUAACGCGUGAAGUCGACCGCCUGGGGAGUACGGCCGCAAGGUU
Molecule: ribosomal RNA, 800 nt
Filed under: uncultured bacterium
Lineage: Bacteria
Description: bacterial SSU rRNA
Rfam family: Bacterial small subunit ribosomal RNA
Source: RNAcentral